Molecule: ribosomal RNA, 1553 nt
Filed under: Salmonella enterica subsp. enterica serovar Adjame
Lineage: Bacteria; Pseudomonadati; Pseudomonadota; Gammaproteobacteria; Enterobacterales; Enterobacteriaceae
Description: bacterial SSU rRNA
Rfam family: Bacterial small subunit ribosomal RNA
Source: RNAcentral
AAAUUGAAGAGUUUGAUCAUGGCUCAGAUUGAACGCUGGCGGCAGGCCUAACACAUGCAAGUCGAACGGUAACAGGAAGCAGCUUGCUGCUUCGCUGACGAGUGGCGGACGGGUGAGUAAUGUCUGGGAAACUGCCUGAUGGAGGGGGAUAACUACUGGAAACGGUGGCUAAUACCGCAUAACGUCGCAAGACCAAAGAGGGGGACCUUCGGGCCUCUUGCCAUCAGAUGUGCCCAGAUGGGAUUAGCUUGUUGGUGAGGUAACGGCUCACCAAGGCGACGAUCCCUAGCUGGUCUGAGAGGAUGACCAGCCACACUGGAACUGAGACACGGUCCAGACUCCUACGGGAGGCAGCAGUGGGGAAUAUUGCACAAUGGGCGCAAGCCUGAUGCAGCCAUGCCGCGUGUAUGAAGAAGGCCUUCGGGUUGUAAAGUACUUUCAGCGGGGAGGAAGGUGUUGUGGUUAAUAACCGCAGCAAUUGACGUUACCCGCAGAAGAAGCACCGGCUAACUCCGUGCCAGCAGCCGCGGUAAUACGGAGGGUGCAAGCGUUAAUCGGAAUUACUGGGCGUAAAGCGCACGCAGGCGGUCUGUCAAGUCGGAUGUGAAAUCCCCGGGCUCAACCUGGGAACUGCAUUCGAAACUGGCAGGCUUGAGUCUUGUAGAGGGGGGUAGAAUUCCAGGUGUAGCGGUGAAAUGCGUAGAGAUCUGGAGGAAUACCGGUGGCGAAGGCGGCCCCCUGGACAAAGACUGACGCUCAGGUGCGAAAGCGUGGGGAGCAAACAGGAUUAGAUACCCUGGUAGUCCACGCCGUAAACGAUGUCUACUUGGAGGUUGUGCCCUUGAGGCGUGGCUUCCGGAGCUAACGCGUUAAGUAGACCGCCUGGGGAGUACGGCCGCAAGGUUAAAACUCAAAUGAAUUGACGGGGGCCCGCACAAGCGGUGGAGCAUGUGGUUUAAUUCGAUGCAACGCGAAGAACCUUACCUGGUCUUGACAUCCACAGAACUUUCCAGAGAUGGAUUGGUGCCUUCGGGAACUGUGAGACAGGUGCUGCAUGGCUGUCGUCAGCUCGUGUUGUGAAAUGUUGGGUUAAGUCCCGCAACGAGCGCAACCCUUAUCCUUUGUUGCCAGCGGUUAGGCCGGGAACUCAAAGGAGACUGCCAGUGAUAAACUGGAGGAAGGUGGGGAUGACGUCAAGUCAUCAUGGCCCUUACGACCAGGGCUACACACGUGCUACAAUGGCGCAUACAAAGAGAAGCGACCUCGCGAGAGCAAGCGGACCUCAUAAAGUGCGUCGUAGUCCGGAUUGGGAGUCUGCAACUCGACUCCAUGAAGUCGGAAUCGCUAGUAAUCGUGGAUCAGAAUGCCACGGUGAAUACGUUCCCGGGCCUUGUACACACCGCCCGUCACACCAUGGGAGUGGGUUGCAAAAGAAGUAGGUAGCUUAACCUUCGGGAGGGCGCUUACCACUUUGUGAUUCAUGACUGGGGUGAAGUCGUAACAAGGUAACCGUAGGGAACCUGCGGUUGAUCACCUCCUUACCUUAAAGAAGC